AUCUAUCUAUCUAGAUUAUAUCUAUCUAUAUUCUAUCUAUCUAUCUAUAUUCUAUCUAUCUAUCUAUAUUCUAUCUAUCUAUCUAUCUAUAUUCUAUAUAUCUACAGUGCAUUCGGAAAGUAUUCAGAUCCCUUUACCUUUUUCACAUUUCUUACAUUACAGCUUCAUUUUAAAAUGGAUUUAAAACAAAUAAUCCUCAUCAAUCUACACACAACAGCCAAUAAUGACAAAGCGAAAACAGAUUAUUAGAAUGUAAAUACCUUAUUUACAUAAGUAUUCAGACCCUUUGCUAUGAGACUCAAAAUUGAGAUCAGGUGCAUCCUGUUUCCAUUGAUCAUCUUUGAUGUUUCUACAAUUUGAUUGGAGUCCAUCUGUGGUACAUUUAAUUGAUUGGACAUGAUUUGGAAAGGCACACACCUGUCUAUAUAAGGUCCUACAGUUGACAGUGCAUGUCAGAGCAAAAAAAACAAGCCGUGAGGUUGAAGGAUUUGUCUGUAGAGCUCCGAGACAGGAUUGUGUUGAGGCACAGAUCUGGGGAAUGGUACCAAACAUUUCUGCAGCAUUGAAGGUCCCCAAGAACACAGUGGCCUCCAUCAUUCUUAAAUGGAAAAAGUUUAGAACCACCAAGACUCUUCCUAGAGCUGUCCGCCCGGCCAAACUGAGCAAUCGGAGGAGAAGGGCCUUGGUCAGGGAGGUGACCAAGAACCCGAUGGCCACUCUGACAGAGCUGCAGAGUUCCUCUGUGGAGAUGGGAGAAUCUUCCAGAGGGACUACCAUCUCUGCAGCAUUCCACCAAUCAGGCCUUCAUGGUAGAGUGGCCAGAUGGAAGCCGCUCCUCAGUAAAAGACACGACAGACUGCUCGGAGUUAGCCAAAAGGCACCUAAAGGACUCUCAGACAUUGAAAAACAAGAUUCUCUGGUCUGAUGAAACUAAGAUUGAACUCUUUGGCCUCAAUGCCAAGCGCCACGCCUGGAGGAAACCUGGCACCAUCCCCACGGUAAAGCAUGGGAGACUAGUCAGAAUCGAGGGAAAGAUGAACAGAGCAAAUUACAGAGAGAUCCUUGAUGGAAACCUGCUCCAGAGCGCUCAGGACCUCAGACUGGGGUGAAGAUUCACUUUCCAACAGGACACCAACCCCUAAGCAAACAGCCAAGACAACGCAGGAGUGUCUUCAGGACAAGUCUCUGAAUGUCCUUGAGUGGCCCAGCCAGAGCCCGGACUUGAACCCGAUCGAACAUCUCUGGAUAGACCUGAAAAUAGCUGUGCAGCUUGAGAGGAUCUGCAGCGAUUAAUGGGAGAAACUCUCCAAAUACAGGUGUGCCAAACUUGUAGCGUCAUACCCAAAAAGACUCAAGGUUGUAAUCGCUGCCAAAGGUGCUUCAACAAAGUACUGAGUAAAGGGUCUGAAUACUUAUGUAAAUUUAAUAUUUAUGUUUUGUUUUUUUUGACAUUUGCAAAAAUUUAUAAAAACCUGUUUUUGCUUUGGCAUUAUGGGGUAUUGUUUCUAGAUUGAUGAGGGGGAAAAACUAUGUAAUACAUUUUAGAAUAAGGCUGUAAUGUAACAAAAUGUGUAAAAAAUGAAGGGGUCUGAAUACUUUCUGAAUGCACUGUAUCUAUAUAUCUAUAUAUCUAUCUAACUAUAUUCUAUCUAUCUAUAUAUCUAUCUAUAUUCUAUCUAUCUAUAUAUCUAUCUAUAUUCUAUCCAUCUAUCUAUCUAUAUUAUAUAUGUUUUCUAUCCAUCUAUCUAUCUAUAUUAUAUCUAUCUAUAAUCUAUCUAUAUUCUGUCUAUCUAUCUAUCUAUAUUCUGUCUAUCUAUCUAUCUAUAUUCUCUCCAUCUAUAUAUCUAUAUUAUAUCUAUCUAUCUAUAUUCUAUCUAUAUUCUAUCUAUAUUAUAUCUAUCUAUCUGUCUGUUGCUAGAUCUGUGGUUAUUUCAGUAGUGUCACUAAUGGGAAGCGAAUACACUGAUACACUGGAAACAGUUGCUACUGUACACACACACACACACACACACACACACACACACACACACACACACACACACACACACACACACACACACACACACACACACACACACACACACACACACACACACACACACACACACACACACACACACAGUACAUCAGUACUCAGUCUAAUGUACACUCCAACACUCUACUCAAUCCGACCGACACACACUUCAAGACUCAAUCUGAUGCACACGCCAUCUCCCACUCGACCUAAAUCUCCGUAGCCACUGACCUAGGCUUCUUCAACUUUAAUCACAGUCAUCAUCCAAAGAGGUACAAGGUUAAAUACACUAUACUAGUUAUGAGAAGGAAGCAUGGUUAAAUAUACUAAUUGAUCUUCGAGGAGUGGCAAGGUCCCAUAAAAAAAACAUACGAAGCAUCAUCAAAUUUGACAGUGAGUGCACUAAAACGUAAUUCCACCCUAAUUCCAUUCAGAGUCAAUGGAAACGAGCUAAGUGGCUACGCGGCAACGCUAGCGGGCAAAGACAGACUACAGCCAGAAGAAUGGCAUUUUCUUAUCAUCAAAGACAGUGACAGGAAAAUGAAAUAGUUUCUACUGAAAUUCUGUGGCCCUUUGAAAUGUUUGAUGUGCCCUUUUGUGUGUGUGUGUUCCAUUGUCUGCUGUUUCUGCAAGGAGAAGCAGAUUUUACAUAAGCCCCUCUAGCUCUUUAUAAAAAGUCCUUACCCAGUACUCUAUGCCUGUCUUAGUGUUUUUUACACGGAGAACAAUAGGUUUAGUCAUGUCUUAGAGGACAUAGGGGAUGGGAAGGAGGAGAGAGUGUGUGUGUACAUUUCCCUACUAUAUAUUAACCAUACUGUAUUAAGAUACUGUUUAUCAAGACUUCAUGUUACACAAUAUUACAGGCUGCAUUUACACAGGCAGCCCAAUUCUGAUCUUUUGACCAAUCAGAUCAGCUCUUUUGGGCAAAAGAUUAGAAUUGGGCUGCCUGUGUAAACGCAGCCAUAGACACACACAUUCAAGGUCCCAUACAUCAGAUACUAAUGUCUUUGACUUUGUGGUCGUGAUUUAAACAGAGGCACAAACACAUUACUCCAACAACUAACCCCCUCCACACAGUCUUCUAAAUGUUGUCACAGUACCAGUAUCGCAAUACUACCACACCUGAUUGUCCAUGGCAGGAAGGAAAACAGAAAGCAGACUAAACUCUUUGCUCCUGUAAAAUAUAGUGUGCUAUAACAUGGAAUAGAAACAUGUGACUCUGGGUGACAUCGUAAGGCUGUAAAAUAUAGUGUGCUAUAGCUUGGAAUAGAAACAUGUGACUCUGGGUGACAUCGUAAGGCUGUUUGUUUCCAACAUGAGAAACUUACAUUUGUUUUACCAAAUUUCUAUCCGCAUGUUAAAUGUGCAACCAGAGGGAAAACAACUCUAGACCACCUUUACUCCACACACAGGGACGCGUACAAAGCUCUCCCUCGCCCUCCAUUUGGCAAAUCUGACAAUAAUUCUAUCCUGCUGAUUCCUGCUUACAAGCAAAAAUUAAAGCAGGAAGCACCAGUGACUCUGUCAAUAAAAAAAUGGUCAGAUCGUCCCCACAGUGACCGCGUAAAUACCCCAACCAGAAGCCAUGGAUUACAGUCAACAUCCGCACUGAGCUAAAGGCUAGAGCUGCCGCUUUCAAGGAGCGGGACUCUAACCCAGACGCUUAUAAGAAAUCCCGCUAUGCCCUCCGAUGAACCAUCAAAUAAGCAAAGUGUCAAUACAGGACUAAGAUCGACUCGUACUACACCGGCUCCGACGCCCGUCGGAUGUGGCGAGGCUUGAAAACCUAUUCCCCCUCGGGAGACUGAAAAGAUUUGGCAUGGGUCCUCAGAUCCUCAAAAGGUUCUACAGCUGCAUCAUCGAGAGCAUCCUGACUGGUUGCAUCACUGCCUGGUAUAGCAACUGCUCGGCCUCCGACCACAAGGCACUACAGAGGUAGUGCGUACGGCCCAGUACAUCACUGGGGCCAAGCUUCCUGCCAUCCAGGACCUAUAUACCAGGCGGUGUCAGAGGAAGGCCCUAAAAAUUGUCAAAGACUCCACCCACCCCAGUCAUAGACUGUUCUCUCUGCUACCGCACGGCAAGCGGUACCGGAGCGCCAAGUCUAGGUCCAAGAGGCUUCUAAACAGCUUCUAUCCCCAAUCCAUAAGACUCCUGCCACUGCUACUCUCUGUUAUUAUCUAUGCAUAGUCACUUUAAUAACUCUACCUGCAUGUACAUAUGGGGCGGCAGGUAGCCUAGUGGUUAGAGCGUUGGACUUGUAACCCCGAGCUGACAAGGUAAAAAAAUCUAAAUAAAUAAUAAUCUGUCGUUCUGCCCCUGAACAAGGCAGUUAACCCACUGUUCCCCUGAACAAGGCAGUUAACCCACUGUUCCCCUGAACAAGGCAGUUAACCCACUGUUCCCCUGAACAAGGCAGUUAACCCACUGUUCCCCUGAACAAGGCAGUUAACCCACUGUUCCCCUGAACAAGGCAGUUAACCCACUGUUCCCCUGAACAAGGCAGUUAACCCACUGUUCCCCUGAACAAGGCAGUUAACCCACUGUUCCCCUGAACAAGGCAGUUAACCCACUGUUCCCCUGAACAAGGCAGUUAACCCACUGUUCCCCUGAACAAGGCAGUUAACCCACUGUUCCGAGGCCGUCAUUGUAAAUAACAAUGUGUUUUUAACUGACUUGCCUAGUUAAAUAAAGACAAGAGAAACAAUUACCUUGACUAACCAGUGCCCCCGCCGCACACUGCUCUUUAACUACUUGUAACUUCUAUUUCUUAUUCUUAUUCAUAUUUUUUAAACUGCAUUGUUGGUUAGGGGAUUGUAAGUAAGCGUUUCACUGUUGUAUUCGGCGCAUGUGACUAAUAAAAUUUGAUUUGGUUUGAA
This is a long non-coding RNA of Salvelinus fontinalis (brook trout), 4893 nucleotides long. RefSeq lists it as uncharacterized. Lineage: Eukaryota; Metazoa; Chordata; Actinopteri; Salmoniformes; Salmonidae. The transcript is spliced from 2 exons. The record is from RefSeq and is a predicted model, not a curated record.